Molecule: ribosomal RNA, 285 nt
Filed under: uncultured bacterium
Lineage: Bacteria
Description: partial 16S ribosomal RNA
Rfam family: Bacterial small subunit ribosomal RNA
Source: RNAcentral
UCCUACGGGGCGCAGCAGUGAGGAAUAUUGGUCAAUGGGCGCAAGCCUGAACCAGCCAAGUCGCGUGAGGGAAGACGGCCCUACGGGUUGUAAACCUCUUUUGCCGGGGAGCAAGCCUGAGCACGUGUGCCCAGGCGGAGAGUACCCGGAGAAAAAGCAUCGGCUAACUCCGUGCCAGCAGCCGCGGUAAUACGGAGGAUGCGAGCGUUAUCCGGAAUGAUUGGGCGUAAAGGGUGCGUAGGCGGCCUGCUAAGUCUGGAGUGAAAGGUACCGGCUCAACCGGUA